CUAAAUUGUCAAAUUGUUACCUAUUGUAGUAUUUUAAUCAGUUAGACUUUCCAAGAUAACAAUACGAAUACUAAAAAUCUGGACUAAAAAUAAGGCGUAUAGGUACAGUUUUCAAUUUGUUAGUGGGCAUGACGUAAAACAGCGAGGCAAAUAAUUCAACUUUACUUAUAACUUAUAUAGGACAAUGCUGUUGAUUAAAAAAUACUCCAUUCCAGGACUUUUUGUUUUCCAAAUAAUUAAUAUUACCAAUAACUGAUAAGUUCCAGUUCGACGGGUUCAAACAGAAAGACUUGAAAGCAGAUAAAAACUGUGUAUCUUAUAAUCGGCAUGACUUUAACAGAUGACAAUACUAAUACUAAAAUAAGGCUUGCGCAUAGUUAUAUACUUUAAUUCAAUCACGGACCCGUGAUAUCACGGGUGUGUUCUAGUACAUAUUAUAUUUAUGAAA
This 448-nucleotide long non-coding RNA is filed under the name Mytilus galloprovincialis (Mediterranean mussel). The record is from RNAcentral. Lineage: Eukaryota; Metazoa; Mollusca; Bivalvia; Mytilida; Mytilidae.